ACUAGGUGGAGCACCCCUGCAGGGUUAAAUCUUUUCGGAAAGCCGUGCCCGUGUUUAUGUGGCAAUGUGGAAACUUCGUUUAACACUGGUUCUAGAUAACUUGAAGUUAACUUAAUUAAAACAUGCCAACUGUGUGUGUAACCGUGACUGUCUCUUCCGUGAGUUCCUUCUCCGAUCGAGGACACGGUGGGGUUAUGUCUGACAUAGGUAGGUGUUCAGGAUCAUUCAUUUGAUCAUCAGUAGUCACGUCCGUUAUGCGUAGAUCUUCCCCCUCUUAUUUCUUGUACUCGUAAGUUAGCCACCUCAUAU
RNAcentral lists this long non-coding RNA (309 nucleotides) under Hordeum vulgare. RNAcentral's name for it is "long non-coding RNA (HVUL_LNC016679)". Lineage: Eukaryota; Viridiplantae; Streptophyta; Magnoliopsida; Poales; Poaceae. The record is from RNAcentral.